Molecule: ribosomal RNA, 460 nt
Filed under: uncultured bacterium
Lineage: Bacteria
Description: partial 16S ribosomal RNA
Rfam family: Bacterial small subunit ribosomal RNA
Source: RNAcentral
CCUACGGGAGGCAGCAGUGAGGAAUAUUGGUCAAUGGGCGCGAGCCUGAACCAGCCAAGUAGCGUGAAGGAUGACUGCCCUACGGGUCGUAAACUUCUUUUAUCAAGGAAUAAAGUGAGGCACGUGUGCCUUUUUGUAUGUACUUUAUGAAUAAGGAUCGGCUAACUCCGUGCCAGCAGCCGCGGUAAUACGGAGGAUCCGAGCGUUAUCCGGAUUUAUUGGGUUUAAAGGGAGCGGAGAUGGGUUGUUAAGUCAGUUGUGAAAGUUUGCGGCUCAACCGUAAAAUUGCAAUUGAUACUGGCAGUCUUGAGUACAGUUGAGGUAGGCGGAAUGCGUGGUGUAGCGGUGAAAUGCUUAGAUAUCACGAAGAACUCCGAUUGCGAAGGCAGCUUACUAAACUGCCACUGACAUUGAUGCUCGAAAGUGUGGGUAUCAAACAGGAUUAGAUACCCCGGUAGUC